This 402-nucleotide ribosomal RNA is filed under the name uncultured bacterium. Its description in RNAcentral is "bacterial SSU rRNA". It matches the Rfam family "Bacterial small subunit ribosomal RNA", at positions 355 to 774 of the family's 1533-position model. The record is from RNAcentral.
UCGGGAAUUUUGGGCAAUGGGCGAAAGCCUGACCCAGCAACGCCGCGUGAGGGAUGAAGUAUUUCGGUAUGUAAACCUCGAAAGAAUGGGAAGAAUAAAUGACGGUACCAUUUAUAAGCUCCGGCUAACUACGUGCCAGCAGCCGCGGUAAUACGUAGGGAGCAAGCGUUGUUCGGAUUUACUGGGCGUAAAGGGCGCGUGGGCGGCGCGGUAAGUCACUUGUGAAAUCUCUGAGCUUAACUCAGAACGGCCAAGUGAUACUGCUGUGCGAGAGUGCGGAAGAGGCAACCGGAAUUCUUGGUGUAGCGGUGAAAUGCGUAGAUAUCAAGAGGAACACCUGAGGCGCAGGCGGGUUGCUGGGCCGACACUGACGCUGAUGCGCGAAAGCCAGGGGAGCAAACG